UUGAUUUCUCCAACUAACACCAAAGGCCCAUUACUCAAAAGCUCUGGCUAGAAUUACUUUUGGGGUCAUCCAGCGUAAAAAUAUUACCAAGGAUCUCUCCAGUUCAGUACCAAUGUCCCCCUUCCCCUCUCUCUUCUCUCCUAUCCCCCCAAAAAAUAAAGGUACAACAAGGAUUCUGGCAAUGUAAGCACGAAACAGAAUCAUACCAGUGCAACAAGACACUGCUUAUGGUAGGCAGACCUUGAUUGUCUUGGAUACAAAUUGACAAAAUUACCUAAAACUUCAAAGUGCUGACUGAAGUGGAAUUGGACCCACAAUUUCAGUGCACAUAAUUAUGAAACCCUAGGUUAUUUUGGUCAAGUUAGUCUAUUGCAGAUAAGCUACAACAGCUCUCCUAACUGCAUAGCUGCUAACCCCAUCAACUUCCCUCUCAACUUAUCUUGGUUUCUUGUAAUUCCAAUUUCCCAUGCUUAACUCACUUCUUUACCCACAAUCACCCAUUCAACACAUUGGGCCGUUGAUGUGACAUAUGCUUCUGAUUAACACCCUAACUAAUCAGUGACUAUUUCUGGCACAG
Molecule: unclassified non-coding RNA, 577 nt
Filed under: Hevea brasiliensis (rubber tree)
Lineage: Eukaryota; Viridiplantae; Streptophyta; Magnoliopsida; Malpighiales; Euphorbiaceae
Source: RNAcentral